UACGUAGGGAGCAAGCGUUGUUCGGAUUUACUGGGCGUAAAGGGCGCGUAGGCGGCAAUUCAAGUCAGCUGUGAAAUCUCCGGGCUUAACUCGGAACGGUCAGCUGAUACUGCUUUGCUAGAGUGCGGAAGGGGCAAUCGGAAUUCUCGAUGUAGCGGUGAAAUGCGUAGAUAUCGAGAGGAACACCUGAGGUGAAGACGGGUUGCUGGGCCGACACUGACGCUGAGGAGCGAAAGCGUGGGGAGCGAACAGG
Molecule: ribosomal RNA, 253 nt
Filed under: uncultured bacterium
Lineage: Bacteria
Description: partial 16S ribosomal RNA
Rfam family: Bacterial small subunit ribosomal RNA
Source: RNAcentral